GGGCCAGUGGUGAAAUGGUAUCACACCUCUUUGGCGUAGAGGAGGCUCCGGGUUCGAAUCCCGGCUGGUCCA
This 72-nucleotide transfer RNA is filed under the name Microcaldota archaeon. RNAcentral describes it as "Candidatus Micrarchaeota archaeon (hot springs metagenome) tRNA-Ala". It matches the Rfam family "tRNA". From Rfam's summary of the family: Transfer RNA (tRNA) molecules are approximately 80 nucleotides in length. The record is from RNAcentral. Lineage: Archaea; Nanobdellati; Microcaldota.